GCUGGGCGUGGUGGCUCACGCCUGUAAUCCCAGCACUUUGGGAGGCUGAGGCGGGUGGAUCACCUGAGGUCAGGAGUUCUAGACCAGCCUGGCCAACAUGGUGAAACCCUGUCUCCA
Molecule: unclassified non-coding RNA, 117 nt
Organism: Macaca mulatta (Rhesus monkey)
Lineage: Eukaryota; Metazoa; Chordata; Mammalia; Primates; Cercopithecidae
Rfam family: Metazoan signal recognition particle RNA
About the family: The signal recognition particle (SRP) is a universally conserved ribonucleoprotein. It is involved in the co-translational targeting of proteins to membranes.
Source: Ensembl